Molecule: ribosomal RNA, 733 nt
Filed under: uncultured Pseudomonadota bacterium
Lineage: Bacteria; Pseudomonadati; Pseudomonadota
Description: bacterial SSU rRNA
Rfam family: Bacterial small subunit ribosomal RNA
Source: RNAcentral
UGCAAGUCGAACGGCAGCACAGUAAGAGCUUGCUCUUAUGGGUGGCGAGUGGCGGACGGGUGAGGAAUACAUCGGAAUCUACUCUGUCGUGGGGGAUAACGUAGGGAAACUUACGCUAAUACCGCAUACGACCUACGGGUGAAAGCAGGGGAUCUUCGGACCUUGCGCGAUUGAAUGAGCCGAUGUCGGAUUAGCUAGUUGGCGGGGUAAAGGCCCACCAAGGCGACGAUCCGUAGCUGGUCUGAGAGGAUGAUCAGCCACACUGGAACUGAGACACGGUCCAGACUCCUACGGGAGGCAGCAGUGGGGAAUAUUGGACAAUGGGCGCAAGCCUGAUCCAGCCAUACCGCGUGGGUGAAGAAGGCCUUCGGGUUGUAAAGCCCUUUUGUUGGGAAAGAAAUCCAGCCGGCUAAUACCUGGUUGGGAUGACGGUACCCAAAGAAUAAGCACCGGCUAACUUCGUGCCAGCAGCCGCGGUAAUACGAAGGGUGCAAGCGUUACUCGGAAUUACUGGGCGUAAAGCGUGCGUAGGUGGUCGUUUAAGUCCGUUGUGAAAGCCCUGGGCUCAACCUGGGAACUGCAGUGGAUACUGGACGACUAGAGUGUGGUAGAGGGUAGCGGAAUUCCUGGUGUAGCAGUGAAAUGCGUAGAGAUCAGGAGGAACAUCCAUGGCGAAGGCAGCUACCUGGACCAACACUGACACUGAGCACGAAAGACGUGGGGAGCAAACAGG